This 900-nucleotide long non-coding RNA is filed under the name Equus asinus (donkey). RNAcentral's name for it is "lncRNA (ENSEASG00005030063.1)". The record is from RNAcentral. Lineage: Eukaryota; Metazoa; Chordata; Mammalia; Perissodactyla; Equidae.
CGCGCCCUGGGGCUGGCGCCGAAGACCGGACCCUCCUCUGCCAGGGAUGAGAAAACUGGAACACUGACAGAUCAAGUAUCUUUCUCAAGAUUGCAUAGCCAAUGAGUAGAGGAGCAAGGAUUUGAACCAGGCUGUUGGCUCCACAGCCUACGCUUGAACCUGCUCUAGGCUGUCGGAAGCAACCUAAAUAGCUAACAACUGGAGAUUUGCUAAGGUGUUGCGGGCCUCUGCUCUCGUAAUACUUCAGCUACAGAACCCACGUGUGAACGCUCCUAGCGCUCUGGAGAAGAUCAAAUGCAUGUGGAAGCUCUUUGAAAACCAUAAAGCCCUCUAAAUGAAAAGGCCUGUGAGGAUACAGUGAGAAGGUGGCCGUCUGCAAGCCUCACCAAGAACUGAAUCUGCCGGCACCUUGAUCUCGGAGUUCCUAGCCUCCAGAACUGUGAGAAAUAAACGUCUGUUGUUUCAGCCACCCACUCUAUGGUAUUUUGUUGUUGCAGCCUCAGCAGGCCAAGAUGAUGAGUGAGUAAAUAAAUGAAUGAAAUAAAACAAAGGCACAGAGGAGGAAAGCAAAUGAUAUGAACAAGGCAUAAAGGGUUACCUUUGAAAACGUGUACCACAGCUGAGUGUGGGAUGUGGCUAGAUGGGAUGAGUCCACUAGGCCAGUGAUUCUCAGUGUGGCCUGUGGACCAGCAGCCUCAGUAUCACCUGGGAACUUGCUAGAAAUGCAAGUUUCUGGGCCCCUCCUCAAGCCUACUGGAUCUGCAACUCAGGGAUGGGGCCAGCAAUCUGUGUUAUAGAAAUCCCUCUAGGGCAUUCUGAUGCAUAGUGAAGUUUGAGAACCGUGACUUUGUACUAUCAUGAGGAAUUUAGAAAUUAUUCUGUUGUAGAAUCAGUGUUAAU